AUUGAACGCUGGCGGCAUGCCUUACACAUGCAAGUCGAACGGCAGCACGGGUGCUUGCACCUGGUGGCGAGUGGCGAACGGGUGAGUAAUACAUCGGAACAUGUCCUGUAGUGGGGGAUAGCCCGGCGAAAGCCGGAUUAAUACCGCAUACGAUCCACGGAUGAAAGCGGGGGACCUUCGGGCCUCGCGCUAUAGGGUUGGCCGAUGGCUGAUUAGCUAGUUGGUGGGGUAAAGGCCUACCAAGGCGACGAUCAGUAGCUGGUCUGAGAGGACGACCAGCCACACUGGGACUGAGACACGGCCCAGACUCCUACGGGAGGCAGCAGUGGGGAAUUUUGGACAAUGGGCGAAAGCCUGAUCCAGCAAUGCUGCGUGUGUGAAGAAGGCCUUCGGGUUGUAAAGCACUUUUGUCCGGAAAGAAAUCCUUGGCUCUAAUACAGUCGGGGGAUGACGGUACCGGAAGAAUAAGCACCGGCUAACUACGUG
This 486-nucleotide ribosomal RNA is filed under the name uncultured bacterium. RNAcentral describes it as "partial 16S ribosomal RNA". It matches the Rfam family "Bacterial small subunit ribosomal RNA", at positions 30 to 507 of the family's 1533-position model. The record is from RNAcentral.